This 436-nucleotide ribosomal RNA is filed under the name uncultured Oscillospiraceae bacterium. RNAcentral's name for it is "bacterial SSU rRNA". It matches the Rfam family "Bacterial small subunit ribosomal RNA", at positions 341 to 792 of the family's 1533-position model. The record is from RNAcentral. Lineage: Bacteria; Bacillati; Bacillota; Clostridia; Eubacteriales; Oscillospiraceae.
ACGGGAGGCAGCAGUCGGGAAUAUUGCGCAAUGGAGGAAACUCUGACGCAGUGACGCCGCGUAUGGGAAGAAGGUUUUCGGAUUGUAAACCAUUGUCGUUAGGGAAGAAAAAAUGACAGUACCUAAGGAGGAAGCACCGGCUGACUAUGUGCCAGCAGCCGCGGUAAUACAUAGGGUGCAAGCGUUAUCCGGAUUUAUUGGGCGUAAAGGGUGCGUAGACGGGAAUUUAAGUUGGUUGUGAAAUCCCUCGGCUCAACUGAGGAACUGCAACCAAAACUGAAUUUCUUGAGUGUCGGAGAGGAAAGUGGAAUUCCUAGUGUAGCGGUGAAAUGCGUAGAUAUUAGGAGGAACACCGGUGGCGAAGGCGACUUUCUGGACGAUAACUGACGUUGAGGCUCGAAAGCGUGGGGAGCAAACAGGAUUAGAUACCCUGGUA